AGUCACGACGCAUAUCAAUAAGCGGAGGAAAAGAAACCAACAGGGAUUGCCCCAGUAACGGCGAGUGAAGCGGCAAGAGCUCAAAUUUGAAAGCUGGCUCCUUCGGGGUCCGCAUUGUAAUUUGUAGAGGAUGCUUCGGGAGCGGUCCCCAUCUAAGUGCCCUGGAACGGGACGUCAUAGAGGGUGAGAAUCCCGUAUGGGAUGGGGUGUCCGCGCCCGUGUGAAGCUCCUUCGACGAGUCGAGUUGUUUGGGAAUGCAGCUCUAAAUGGGUGGUAAAUUUCAUCUAAAGCUAAAUAUUGGCCGGAGACCGAUAGCGCACAAGUAGAGUGAUCGAAAGAUGAAAAGCACUUUGAAAAGAGAGUUAAAAAGCACGUGAAAUUGUUGAAAGGGAAGCGCUUGCGACCAGACUCGCUCGCGGGGUUCAGCCGGCAUUCGUGCCGGUGUACUUCCCCGCGGGCGGGCCAGCGUCGGUUUGGGCGGUCGGUCAAAGGCCCUCGGAAGGUAACGCCCCUAGGGGCGUCUUAUAGCCGAGGGUGCAAUGCGACCUGCCUAGACCGAGGAACGCGCUUCGGCUCGGACGCUGGCAUAAUGGU
RNAcentral lists this ribosomal RNA (594 nucleotides) under Penicillium sp. DYG2(2). RNAcentral's name for it is "eukaryotic LSU rRNA". It matches the Rfam family "Eukaryotic large subunit ribosomal RNA", at positions 32 to 638 of the family's 3401-position model. The record is from RNAcentral. Lineage: Eukaryota; Fungi; Ascomycota; Eurotiomycetes; Eurotiales; Aspergillaceae.